Molecule: ribosomal RNA, 465 nt
Filed under: uncultured bacterium
Lineage: Bacteria
Description: partial 16S ribosomal RNA
Rfam family: Bacterial small subunit ribosomal RNA
Source: RNAcentral
GACGAACGCUGGCGGCGUGCUUAACACAUGCAAGUCGAACGGAAAGGCCCCAGCUUGCUGGGGUACUCGAGUGGCGAACGGGUGAGUAACACGUGGGUGAUCUGCCCUGCACUCUGGGAUAAGCCUGGGAAACUGGGUCUAAUACCGGAUAGGACCGUGCUUUAGUGUGUGCGGUGGAAAGUUUUUCGGUGCAGGAUGAGCCCGCGGCCUAUCAGCUUGUUGGUGGGGUAAUGACCUACCAAGGCGGCGACGGGUAGCCGGCCUGAGAGGGUGUACGGCCACAUUGGGACUGAGACACGGCCCAGACUCCUACGGGAGGCAGCAGUGGGGAAUAUUGCACAAUGGGCGCAAGCCUGAUGCAGCGACGCCGCGUGGGGGAUGACGGCCUUCGGGUUGUAAACCCCUUUCGGCAGGGACGAAGCUUUUGUGACGGUACCUGCAGAAGAAGCACCGGCUAACUACGUG